GCCUACGGGGGGCAGCAGUGAGGAAUAUUGGUCAAUGGGCGGGAGCCUGAACCAGCCAAGUCGCGUGAGGGAAGACGGUCCUACGGAUUGUAAACCUCUUUUGCCGGGGAGCAACGGGGUCCUUGCGAGGGCCCAAUGAGAGUACCCGGAGAAAAAGCAUCGGCUAACUCCGUGCCAGCAGCCGCGGUAAUACGGAGGAUGCGAGCGUUAUCCGGAUUUAUUGGGUUUAAAGGGUGCGUAGGCGGACUGUCAAGUCAGCGGUAAAAUACGGGGGCUCAACCUCCGCCCGCCGUUGAAACUGACGG
This 305-nucleotide ribosomal RNA is filed under the name uncultured bacterium. RNAcentral's name for it is "bacterial SSU rRNA". It matches the Rfam family "Bacterial small subunit ribosomal RNA", at positions 337 to 639 of the family's 1533-position model. The record is from RNAcentral.